GGUACGAUGGCCGAGCCGUCUAAGGCGCCAGACUCGGGUUUAGAGAACUAACUUCUGUUUCGAAAACGGACAGCGCAUUCUGGUCUCAAAAGAGGCGGGAGUUUGAAUCUCCCUCGUAUCA
Non-coding RNA from Trichophaea hybrida, 121 nucleotides. NCBI's taxonomy places the organism in Eukaryota, Fungi, Ascomycota, Pezizomycetes, Pezizales, Pyronemataceae. The record is from the annotation of a GenBank genome assembly.